Molecule: ribosomal RNA, 253 nt
Filed under: uncultured microorganism
Description: partial 16S ribosomal RNA
Rfam family: Bacterial small subunit ribosomal RNA
Source: RNAcentral
UACGGAGGGGGCGAGCGUUAAUCGGAUUUACUGGGCGUAAAGCGUGCGCAGGCGGCCCGUUAAGACAGGUGUGAAAUCCCUGGGCUCAACCUAGGAAUUGCGCUUGUGACUGGCGGGCUCGAGUACGGUAGAGGGGGGUGGAAUUCCUGGUGUAGCAGUGAAAUGCGUAGAGAUCAGGAGGAACACCGAUGGCGAAGGCAGCCCCCUGGGCCUGUACUGACGCUCAUGCACGAAAGCGUGGGGAGCAAACAGG